CUGUGUGUUAUAUGUGUCGACACGGGACUGCCGGUCUUAAGCCGGAGGAAGGUGGGGAUGAUGUCAAGUCAGCAUGGCCUUUAUAUCCCUGGGCUACACACACGCUACAAUGGCCAACACAAUAGGUUGCUAAGCCGCGAGGUGGCGCCAAUCCAUAAAGUUGGUCUCAGUUCAGAUUGUAGGCUGCAACCCGCCUGCAUGAAGAUGGAGUUGCUAGUAACCGCAGGUCAGCUAUACUGCGGUGAAUACGUUCCCGGGCUU
Molecule: ribosomal RNA, 261 nt
Filed under: uncultured Leptolinea sp.
Lineage: Bacteria; Bacillati; Chloroflexota; Anaerolineae; Anaerolineales; Anaerolineaceae
Description: partial 16S ribosomal RNA
Rfam family: Bacterial small subunit ribosomal RNA
Source: RNAcentral